Molecule: ribosomal RNA, 483 nt
Filed under: uncultured bacterium
Lineage: Bacteria
Description: partial 16S ribosomal RNA
Rfam family: Bacterial small subunit ribosomal RNA
Source: RNAcentral
UUGCACGCUGGCGGCCGGCCUCACACAUGCAAGUCGAGCGGAUGAAGGGAGCUUGCUCCUGGAUUCAGCGGCGGACGGGUGAGUAAUGCCUAGGAAUCUGCCUGGUAGUGGGGGAUAACGUCCGGAAACGGGCGCUAAUACCGCAUACGUCCUGAGGGAGAAAGUGGGGGAUCUUCGGACCUCACGCUAUCAGAUGAGCCUAGGUCGGAUUAGCUAGUUGGUGGGGUAAAGGCCUACCAAGGCGACGAUCCGUAACUGGUCUGAGAGGAUGAUCAGUCACACUGGAACUGAGACACGGUCCAGACUCCUACGGGAGGCAGCAGUGGGGAAUAUUGGACAAUGGGCGAAAGCCUGAUCCAGCCAUGCCGCGUGUGUGAAGAAGGUCUUCGGAUUGUAAAGCACUUUAAGUUGGGAGGAAGGGCAGUAAGUUAAUACCUUGCUGUUUUGACGUUACCAACAGAAUAAGCACCGGCUAACUUCGUG